Molecule: ribosomal RNA, 445 nt
Filed under: uncultured bacterium
Lineage: Bacteria
Description: bacterial SSU rRNA
Rfam family: Bacterial small subunit ribosomal RNA
Source: RNAcentral
CCUACGGGAGGCAGCAGUGGGGAAUAUUGCGCAAUGGGCGAAAGCCUGACGCAGCGACGCCGCGUGAGGGAUGACGGCCUUCGGGUUGUAAACCUCUUUCAGCAGGGACGAAGCGAAAGUGACUGUACCUGCAGAAGAAGCACCGGCUAACUACGUGCCAGCAGCCGCGGUAAUACGUAGGGUGCAAGCGUUGUCCGGAAUUAUUGGGCGUAAAGAGCUCGUAGGCGGUCUGUCGCGUCGGAUGUGAAAACUUGGGGCUCAACCCCAAGCCUGCAUUCGAUACGGGCAGACUUGAGUUCGGUAGGGGAGACUGGAAUUCCUGGUGUAGCGGUGAAAUGCGCAGAUAUCAGGAGGAACACCGAUGGCGAAGGCAGGUCUCUGGGCCGACACUGACGCUGAGGAGCGAAAGCGUGGGGAGCGAACAGGAUUAGAUACCCCUGUAGUC